This 804-nucleotide ribosomal RNA is filed under the name Triticum aestivum (bread wheat). RNAcentral describes it as "partial small subunit ribosomal RNA". The record is from RNAcentral. Lineage: Eukaryota; Viridiplantae; Streptophyta; Magnoliopsida; Poales; Poaceae.
AUGGCUGCAGGUGAUUACAUGAGAGUAAAGGUUCGGCUGGACAUUACUAAACCCCUGAUGAGAGGGAUCAUUGCCUUUGAUGAUCUGGAGGACGGAGGGGAUGAUAGCAGCGACAAGGAUGUUUCCGGAGGGGGUGAAGGAAAGGAGGAACAAGGGAGAAGAGAAAUUAUCUUUAGGUACGAAUAUCUGCCUGACUUUUGCUAUCUUUGUGGGAUUAUCGGCCACAACGAUAGAGUUUGCCCCAAUAAACAACAGUGUAGUUUGAACUUGGAGUUUGGUCCCUGGCUUAAAGCUGAGUUAUGGAGGAGAUACCCAAAUGGAGAUGAUAGGAGUAAGGAUCCUAGUGAUAAAUGGGGAUUUGGUAGAAGCAGUAGUGGAGACAGUAGGGGAAGUGAUACACUAUCCUGGAGAAAGGAACCAAAUAAUAAUGGUAAAAUGGAAGAUUCUGGGAAGGGAGAGGACAAGAUGGUCUCAAGCCCACUUAAGUUGCAGUCAAACGAUAAGGAGCUAAGAGCUGACAGGAGAAAACUCGACUUAGAGGUGGAGGCAGGAGAUAAUAAUGCAGAUAAAAGCUACAACUCACUCCAGGCUACUCCAAUGGCACUGGAUUGGAAAUCUGGUAAGGAGCAGGAAAGUGAGCCUUCUCAGAGUGUUCAAAAGGAUGAUUCUGAAUAUAGAAAGGGAGGUGUAGGGGCUGAAUUAGACGCUUUAGAAAAAGAGAAAGAUAUGAAAGGAAAGGAUAAGCUUGAAGAAAAGAGGAACUUGGAUGAGGUGAAGGUGAUUGUUAAUACUUCACCCAAAUAG